Non-coding RNA from Trichuris muris, 123 nucleotides. The record is from Rfam. Lineage: Eukaryota; Metazoa; Nematoda; Enoplea; Trichinellida; Trichuridae.
GCCUACGAUCAUACUACGUUGAAAACACCGCAUCCCGUUUAGCGCAUCUGCGAAGUUUAGCAACGUUAGGCCGAGUUAGUACCAUGGUUGGAGACAACAUGGGAACAUUCGGUGUCGUAGGCU